GAGGUUGUGGCUCAGUGGUAGAAUGCUCGCCUAGCACACGUGAGGCCUUGAGAUCAAUCCUCAGCACCACA
This 71-nucleotide transfer RNA is filed under the name Marmota monax (woodchuck). RNAcentral's name for it is "tRNA.Ala". The record is from RNAcentral. Lineage: Eukaryota; Metazoa; Chordata; Mammalia; Rodentia; Sciuridae.